GUGGGGAAUAUUGGACAAUGGGCGCAAGCCUGAUCCAGCCAUGCCGCGUGAGUGAUGAAGGCCUUAGGGUUGUAAAGCUCUUUUGUCCGGGAAGAUAAUGACUGUACCGGAAGAAUAAGCCCCGGCUAACUUCGUGCCAGCAGCCGCGGUAAUACGAAGGGGGCUAGCGUUGUUCGGAAUCACUGGGCGUAAAGCGCACGUAGGCGGACCAUUAAGUCAGGGGUGAAAGCCUGGAGCUCAACUACAGAACUGCCUUUGAUACUGAUGGUCUCGAGUAUGGAAGAGGUUGGUGGAACUGCGAGUGUAGAGGUGAAAUUCGUAGAUAUUCGCAAGAACACCGGUGGCGAAGGCGGCCAACUGGUCCAUUACUGACGCUGAGGUGCGAAAGCGUGGGGAGCAAACAGGAUUAGAAACCCUGGUAGUCC
This 425-nucleotide ribosomal RNA is filed under the name uncultured bacterium. RNAcentral's name for it is "partial 16S ribosomal RNA". It matches the Rfam family "Bacterial small subunit ribosomal RNA", at positions 354 to 796 of the family's 1533-position model. The record is from RNAcentral.